This 253-nucleotide ribosomal RNA is filed under the name uncultured bacterium. Its description in RNAcentral is "partial 16S ribosomal RNA". It matches the Rfam family "Bacterial small subunit ribosomal RNA", at positions 524 to 776 of the family's 1533-position model. The record is from RNAcentral.
UACAGAGACUGCAAGCGUUAUUCGGAUUCACUGGGCGUAAAGGGUGCGCAGGCGGCCGUGUGUGUCAGGUGUGAAAGCCCGGAGCUUAACUCCGGAAUUGCGCCUGAAACUACAUGGCUAGAGCAUUGGAGAGGGAUGCGGAAUUCCAGGUGUAGCGGUGAAAUGCGUAGAUAUCUGGAGGAACACCGGUGGCGAAGGCGGCAUCCUGGACCGAGAUUGACGCUGAGGCGCGAAAGCCAGGGGAGCAAACGGG